GGCGAGAUGGCCGAGCGGUCUAAGGCGUCAGACUAAGGUUCCAAGCCAUAUAUAUUAAAGAUAAUCUGAUCUCUUCGGGGGCGUGGGUUCAAAUCCCACUCUCGUCA
Stereum hirsutum FP-91666 SS1 is the source of this 107-nucleotide transfer RNA. It matches the Rfam family "tRNA". From Rfam's summary of the family: Transfer RNA (tRNA) molecules are approximately 80 nucleotides in length. Their secondary structure includes four short double-helical elements and three loops (D, anti-codon, and T loops). NCBI's taxonomy places the organism in Eukaryota, Fungi, Basidiomycota, Agaricomycetes, Russulales, Stereaceae. The record is from Rfam.